Molecule: ribosomal RNA, 252 nt
Filed under: uncultured bacterium
Lineage: Bacteria
Description: partial 16S ribosomal RNA
Rfam family: Bacterial small subunit ribosomal RNA
Source: RNAcentral
UACGUAGGGUGCAAGCGUUGUCCGGAAUAUUGGGCGUAAAGAGCUCGUAGGCGGUUUGUCGCGUCGAAUGUGAAAACCCGGGGCUCAACCCCGGGCCUGCAUUCGAUACGGGCAGACUAGAGUUCGGUAGGGGAGUCUGGAAUUCCUGGUGUAGCGGUGAAAUGCGCAGAUAUCAGGAGGAACACCGGUGGCGAAGGCGGGUCUCUGGGCCGUAACUGACGCUGAGGAGCGAAAGCGUGGGGAGCGAACAGG